Molecule: ribosomal RNA, 2274 nt
Filed under: Samsoniella hepiali
Lineage: Eukaryota; Fungi; Ascomycota; Sordariomycetes; Hypocreales; Cordycipitaceae
Description: LSU rRNA
Rfam family: Bacterial large subunit ribosomal RNA
Source: RNAcentral
AAUAAGAUAUAUAAAUGAUACUUAUUUUCUUGUUAUAGGCUAUGCUUAGAGCAAGUAAUAUAAGUAUGUAAAGGAAUUAUUACGCAAUUCUAGCUAUGUAUUAAGGAGAGCAAAUUUGAUAUAAAAAGGAAUAUAUAAUAUUUCUAGUUAAUAAGCUCUAGAAGAAAUUUAAUAAUAAACGAAGUGAAGUGAAAUAUCUCAGUAACUUCAGGAAAAGAAAUCAAAAGAGAUUCUAUGAAUAGCGUGAGCGAAAGUAGAUAAGUCUAUUAAGUAAAAUGGUUUAUAAACUGUUUGAAUGGGGAACCUUCCUCAAAGACUAAAUAUGAUACAUAAGCGAUAGAUAAUGGGCCGUGAGGUAAAUGGAAGUUAGUAGUAAUUUUAUAAGCAGUUCGAAUAGACUUAGUUUAAGCUAAAGAACGUACCUUUUGCAUAAUGGGUCACCAAGUUAACAUUAGAUGCGAGGAAAUUUCGUAGUUAAACCAAACGUUAAAAUAACGAUAAGUGUCUAAAGUUAGACCCGAAGCCUAGUGAUUUUACCAUGAUCAGGACUAUAAAGGUCCGAACGGGUGAUUGUUGCAAAAAUCUCCGAAGAAUCGUGGUAGGUAUAGUGAAAGACAAUACUGACUAGGAUAGCUGGUUUUCUGCGAAACCUAUAACAGUAGGCAAUUUAAGUAAAUAUCUUAGCAGGUACAGAAUUUAAUCUCAGGCAAUAUUUUAUUGCGCAAAUUGGGGAAUCGUGAAGAUUUUAUCAGUGAGUAUGUAGACUCGGAAUGGCAAAGAUAUAUCUUGAAUGAUCAGACAUAGAAUGAUAAGGUUGUAUGUCAAAAGGGAAACAGCCCAGAACAAGAGUUAAGGUUCCUAAAUUAUUUGUUAAGUGAAAUUAAGAAGGUUUUUAUUAAAGUCGACAAGGAGAUAGGCUUAGAAGCAGCCAUAAUUUUAUGACCUCGUAACAGAGCGCUUGUUAAGUUAUAAAAGCAUCGAAAAUAUAACGGAUCUAAACAAUAUACCGAAACCUUGUCCAUAAAUUAUUAAUGCGCAAGCUACAUAUUUAAUAUUUAUGGGGUAGCAGAACGUUGAAUUAGGCUAAAUAACAAGUUUAUAAAUUUGUUAUGUUAAUUCAAGUGAGAAUGGUGACAUGAGUAACGAAAAGAAUAGUAGAUUUUGUCGAUAAUUCUAGCUUGCUAGAAUUAGGUACAUACAUUAAAUAAUAGAUCUUAUUUAGUGCUUACAAGAUCUGCUAUCCGCCUAAAGCUUAUGGUUAGAAUUAAGUAACGGCCUCUAAGCUUUUUAUCUAAAGAUUGAAGCGAUGAGAAAAUCUUUUAUUAUGAAAUAGACGACAUUUAUCUAGUGAAAAAUGUACAGGAAAAAUCAUAAUAUAGUAACCGUACCUAGAAACCGACUAUGGUAAGCUAGUAGAGUAUACGAAGGCGUAAUUGAGAUAACAAUCAUAAAGGAACUCGGCAAAUUGACUAUCGUAACUUCGGGAUAAGUAGGGCUCAUUAUUCUUGAUUAAUAUCAGGUAAAGAGGAAGAAACAUAAAAUAAUGUUGUACGACUGUUUAAUUAAAACACAGCACUUUGCUUAAAGAUUAAAAAUCUAUGUAUAAAGUGUGAUAUCUGCCCGGUGCCGGCUGGCUAACAGAGAUAAUUGAAUAUAUUACUAUUUGAUGUCGACGGAAGCCCCGGUUAAAGGCGGCCUUAACGUGAGGGUCCUAAGGUAGCGAAAUGCCUUGGCCGUUAAAUGCGGUCUUGCAUGAAUGGUGUAACGAUACAACAGCUGUCUCUAUGAUUGACUCAGUGAAAUUGGAAUAGCUGUGCAGAUACAGCUUACCUCUAGUUAGACGAGAAGACCCUAUGCAGCUUUACUGUCACUAAUUAUAGAUUUUGAUGAACAAUUUUCAGACUAAAAGGGAAUUGAUUAAAUAUUCAUGAGAAACCUUUAUUUUUUUCUUCAUUUGAAUGAAUUGAUAUACCUACUAACGUUAGUAUAUCAUCCUAGUUCAGCCUAGUUUCUUAGUUUACUAAGAAAUAGGUACCCUUGGAAAGGAACUAUUGCUAGGGGACAGUUUAUGUGGGGCACAGACCCUGUAAAGAGUAAACAGGUGUGUCUAAUAAUUAUUUUUAUUUUGUUUGCUAUUUUUAUAUAAAUCGUAUUCACUUUGAUAUAGUUGUAAGGUAUAGUUGCGCAAGCAAGCUAUACGAUUAUAUUUAUAUCGAAAAUUUAGGUAAGAUUUUGACUAUACUGAAAUUAGAGAUAAUUUAAAAUUUUAUGUAU